Molecule: microRNA precursor, 146 nt
Filed under: Gossypium hirsutum (cotton)
Lineage: Eukaryota; Viridiplantae; Streptophyta; Magnoliopsida; Malvales; Malvaceae
Also listed under: 2 other names
Description: MIR7502 microRNA precursor family
Rfam family: MIR7502 microRNA precursor family
Source: Rfam by way of RNAcentral
AAUUAAAAUUUUCUAUCUAUUUUUAUUGUUAAAAAUUUAUGAUUGACGGAAUAACCAAAUAUUUACACACAUAGCUUGCCUAGUACAUCUCAUUUCGACGUACAAGGAUCAGUUUUUAAGAUUAGAAAUGAACGAAAUUUUUAACA